CCUACGGGCGGCAGCAGUGGGGAAUAUUGGACAAUGGGGGGAACCCUGAACCAGCGACGCCGCGUGAGUGAAGAAGUAUUUCGGUAUGUAAAGCUCUAUCAGCAGGGAAGAAAGAAAUGACGGUACCUGACUAAGAAGCCCCGGCUAACUACGUGCCAGCAGCCGCGGGAAUACGUAGGGGGCAAGCGUUAUCCGGAUUUACUGGGUGUAAAGGGAGCGUAGACGGCGAUGCAAGUCUGAAGUGAAAGGCGGGGGCCCAACCUCCGGACUGCUUUGGAAACUGUAUGGCUGGAGUGCAGGAGAGGUAAGUGGAAUUCGUGGUGUAGCGGUGAAAUGCGUAGAUAUUAGGAGGAACACCAGUGGCGAAGGCGGCUUACUGGACUGUAACUGACGUUGAGGCUCGAAAGCGUGGGGAGCAAACAGGAUUAGAUACCCGAGUAGUC
RNAcentral lists this ribosomal RNA (443 nucleotides) under uncultured bacterium. RNAcentral describes it as "partial 16S ribosomal RNA". It matches the Rfam family "Bacterial small subunit ribosomal RNA", at positions 338 to 795 of the family's 1533-position model. The record is from RNAcentral.